RNAcentral lists this long non-coding RNA (817 nucleotides) under Zostera marina. RNAcentral's name for it is "long non-coding RNA (ZMAR_LNC000386)". Lineage: Eukaryota; Viridiplantae; Streptophyta; Magnoliopsida; Alismatales; Zosteraceae. The record is from RNAcentral.
CCCAAUUGCUGUCCAAGACGACGUUGAUAUGUCGUCAAAUGAUCUUACUUUCUUCCCUCUCAUUUUUUGAUAGUUUUGAGAAAUGGUAGGUACUUUGGAUCUCACAAUUCCUUCCAGUGUUGACACUACCUCCUUCAUUGUUGGUCUUUCUUCUCCUUUAUAUCUUAAGCAUGAACAUGCAAGCCUUGCAAAUACUUCGAUCUCAUCUUUAUCAGCUUCUUCUUCGAGACAAGUGUCGAAAAUCAGUUCGACAUGUUUUUCAUUAAACAUCUUGAUGAAAUACAUGAUUAUAUUUCUUUCUUCUUGAGUUCUCGCAUUUGAGAUUGGUUUCUGGCCUGUAAAGAGCUCUACUAAAAUGACACCCAAACUGUAAACAUCACUUUUUUCAGUUAAUUUUCCUGAUUGAUAGUAUUCUGGAUCGAGAUAUCCAAUUGUUCCUUGUACCGUAGUUGAGGUGAUAUGAGUUUGAUCUAACCCUACAUAUUUUGAAGCUCCAAAAUCUGAUAAUUUUGCGGAUAACUUCUCGUCCAGUAAUAUGUUUGCUGAUUUCAAAUCACUGUGGAAAAUAGUCUUGGAACUAGCAAAAUGAAGGUAUAAAAUAGCUGAAGAUAACUCAAUGGCAAUCCUCAGACGAUCAUCCCAACAUAAGUGAGAAAAAUGAUCCCUUGCAUGAAGAUGGUCGGAAAGAGUACCAUUAGAAACAAAUUCGUACACCAAAAUAGGAACUUCCGUCUCUAAGCAACAUCCAUACAACAUCACCACAUUCCUAUGAUAAAUCCGAGAGAGAAGAGCGACCUCGUUAAUAAAUUCAUCUACC